GACGAACCGUGCGAACGUUGUUCGGAAUCACUGGGCUUAAAGGGCGCGUAGGCGGGCGACAAAGUCCGGGGUGAAAUCCUUCGGCUUAACCGAAGAAUUGCCUUGGAUACUGGUCGUCUUGAGGGAGGUAGGGGCAUGUGGAACUUCCGGUGGAGCGGUGAAAUGCGUUGAUAUCGGAAGGAACGCCGGUGGCGAAAGCGACGUGCUGGAUCUCUUCUGACGCUGAGGCGCGAAAGCUAGGGGAGCAAAC
Molecule: ribosomal RNA, 250 nt
Filed under: uncultured bacterium
Lineage: Bacteria
Description: partial 16S ribosomal RNA
Rfam family: Bacterial small subunit ribosomal RNA
Source: RNAcentral